RNAcentral lists this transfer RNA (75 nucleotides) under Bos taurus (domestic cattle). It matches the Rfam family "tRNA". From Rfam's summary of the family: Transfer RNA (tRNA) molecules are approximately 80 nucleotides in length. The record is from Rfam by way of RNAcentral. Lineage: Eukaryota; Metazoa; Chordata; Mammalia; Artiodactyla; Bovidae. RNAcentral also lists the same sequence under 2 other names.
UCCCUGGCAGUCCAAUGGUUAAGACUCUGCACUUCCAAUGCAGGGUGGGUGCGGGUUCCAUCCCCGGUCUGGGAA